Molecule: ribosomal RNA, 433 nt
Filed under: uncultured bacterium
Lineage: Bacteria
Description: partial 16S ribosomal RNA
Rfam family: Bacterial small subunit ribosomal RNA
Source: RNAcentral
CACGCACGCUGGCGGCAUGCCUAACACAUGCAAGUCGAACGAGACCUUCGGGUCUAGUGGCGCACGGGUGCGUAACACGUGGGAAUCUGCCCUUUGCUUCGGAAUAACAGUUAGAAAUGACUGCUAAUACCGGAUGAUGUCUAAAGACCAAAGAUUUAUCGGCAAAGGAUGAGCCCGCGUAGGAUUAGGUAGUUGGUGGGGUAAAGGCCUACCAAGCCGACGAUCCUUAGCUGGUCUGAGAGGAUGAUCAGCCACCCUGGGACUGAGACACGGCCCAGACUUCUACGGGAGGCAGCGGUGGGGAAUAUUGGACAAUGGGCGAAAGCCUGAUCCAGCAAUGCCGCGUGAGUGAUGAAGGCCUUAGGGUUGUAAAGCUCUUUUACCAGGGAUGAUAAUGACAGUACCUGGAGAAUAAGCCCCGGCUAACUCCGUG